AAACCAGCACCUCAAGUGGUCAGGAUGAUUAUUGGGCCUAAAGCAUCCGUAGCCUGUUCUGUAAGUUUCCGGUUAAAUCCAUUAGCUCAACUAAUGGGCCGCCGAAAAUACUGCAAAACUAGGGAGUGGGAGAGGUAGACGGUACUCGGUAGGAAGGGGUAAAAUCCUUUGAUCUAUUGAUGACCACCUGUGGCGAAGGCGGUCUACCAGAACACGUUCGACGGUGAGGGAUGAAAGCUGGGGGAGCAAACCGGAUUAGAAACCCGGGUAGUCC
RNAcentral lists this ribosomal RNA (274 nucleotides) under uncultured bacterium. Its description in RNAcentral is "partial 16S ribosomal RNA". It matches the Rfam family "Archaeal small subunit ribosomal RNA", at positions 473 to 747 of the family's 1478-position model. The record is from RNAcentral.